This is a long non-coding RNA of Prunus dulcis (almond), 460 nucleotides long. RefSeq lists it as uncharacterized. The transcript is spliced from 2 exons. Lineage: Eukaryota; Viridiplantae; Streptophyta; Magnoliopsida; Rosales; Rosaceae. The record is from RefSeq and is a predicted model, not a curated record.
UGAUAAUAGAGGUGGUUGUGGGGGUGCGAGGAACGUUCUCUGUGAGGCUGUAGAAAGACACAAGCCAUCCAUGUUGGUUUCUGGUAGCUAUGGCUAUGGAGCUAUGAAAAGGGCUGUUUUAGGCAGUGUAAGUGAUUAUUGUGCGCAUCAUGCUUGCUGCACCGUGAUAAUUGUGAAGAGGCCCAAAAUCAAAAAUUGAAGCUACCCACCUACCACUCCAGCUACCUUGCCUUUGCUGCCUGCUUCAAAUAAGCCAACACAUAUGCUGCUGCAGCACCAGCUAGCUGCUGUGUCCGCCAAGUAAUUUUAAGCCUGGUAGCUUUUAAAGAAAUGUCGUUUUACUUGGGAAAUAUGUUGCUGACAGGCAUGUUAUGUAGCAUUGGUUUAUCAACAUAUCUGUUCUCUUUCAAGACUUCUGCUUGUUUCUGAUGGUAAAAGCAGUUUGUAUUUGUUCGAAUUA